UACACGCCUGUUUCGAGUGGAACAUUUAGUUCGAACGCGCCGCUCCGCGCCUAACCUCAUUUGCAUAUAUGGGAAAAUUAACCUGUUCAUUUGCAUAUAUGGGAAAAUACCGUGUUCCCGCUAGCGCACUGUGACUUUUGGCCUUUGACACCACAAAUCAUGACGUAUAGUCACAUGCAACCAUUUGCAAUGGGAACAACGUUGCUACAGGGUAGCGAACAGAGUCUUGCGAGAAUUGGUUGAGUCUUUAGCACCUCUUAGCCGCGAGAAUGCAGAAAUUACGAAGAAAACUGGCUGGUCUCUCUUCGGAUGUGUAUUAAAGAGCCUGACUAGUUAAAGGGAACCCUGUACUGCUGUUGCCAAUAUUAACGAGGGAGACUUCAGUUUGCAAAACGCACACCAUCCUGU
Molecule: long non-coding RNA, 408 nt
Organism: Branchiostoma belcheri (Belcher's lancelet)
Lineage: Eukaryota; Metazoa; Chordata; Leptocardii; Amphioxiformes; Branchiostomatidae
Exons: 3
Source: RefSeq, a predicted model, not a curated record